Molecule: non-coding RNA, 27 nt
Filed under: Homo sapiens (human)
Lineage: Eukaryota; Metazoa; Chordata; Mammalia; Primates; Hominidae
Source: RNAcentral
UAAGAAUGUGUGUUGUGGUGUUAAAUU